GCCCUCUCAGGAUCGCACCUGGAGAGUUUCCAGUACUCUACCAGUGUCGGCUAUGAGAGGGAGAGGCAAGUAGAGGCCCACCCAAUCCAUUCCUAGCUUGGGCAGUGGCUAGCGAGUAGAAGACAAUCUGCUACAAGU
Small nucleolar RNA from Ornithorhynchus anatinus (platypus), 138 nucleotides. The record is from RefSeq and is a predicted model, not a curated record. Lineage: Eukaryota; Metazoa; Chordata; Mammalia; Monotremata; Ornithorhynchidae.